GAAGGUGUGGUGCGGUGCGGUUUUCUUAUUAUAAAACCGUAAACUACAUUGCAUCAUGCGGUGCAGUGUGUGGUACACUGUUACUUGCGGUGUUGUGCGGUGUGGUUAGGCCAUUUUGCGGGAGAUUUUGGUGUAGUUUUUGUGGUUUGUACAGUUUAUGCAGUUUGAUGAACACCCCUAGUUAUGCACAUUUAAUGAUGCUAUAGUUGGGAUCCAUUCACUUGAAUCUAACCCAUCAUCUUCAUUUGACAGGUUACACUUCUUCUGUGACGCUGAUAUGCUACGACUUGAAUUUACAUUUUCCUUCACCUUAUUUCAUUUAGUGAAUCUUGCUUCAAUUUAUCAGGCUCUCCUUAAUUUUUUUUUGAUCAGUAAUAAGGAUUUAUUAAUAUCAAAAAGAGAGAGACACCCAAGUAUACAGGAAGUAUAUAAGGGUGUACAAAUCAAAUACAAAAAUUACAUAAAUCAAGUAAAUCCAAAAUAGAAGAAAAAGGUUGGUUUCUCCACUUAUUAGGUUGUCCUUAAUGGCUUUAGGUGGUACUGAUUAUAGAUAUGUUUCUUAAAUUGGUUAUAGUUCAAGGAAUAGGCAUCUUUAGUUUAUGCCUACAAGGAGAUUUUUCUUGUUAUGGAUGUCUUCAUUCAUCUCUUCAUUUGUUACUUGAGAAUCUAAUUUCUUCAAAUUUGAGGGUUAGGAGUGCUGCUGAUGCCGUCAAAAGUGUCAUUUCUGCUACCUCUGGUUGUCUGAUAGAGAGCUUGUAUGGUGCAAACUCAAAUUUCCAAAAAUUUUAAGAUGCAUGACUGUUGUCAAAAAACCCAUUUUAGAGAUUGGGACUUAGUUUUGGAUAUGCAGACUAUGUAUUGAUUCCAUUUAUCAGUAGCUCACAGAAUAUUUUCCCUAUCGUAGGAACUGGUAUGACUACAUAUCCUUGACUCUAGUAACUAUUUAGCAAAAUUAAAUCACUUAUCUUUUUAAUGUGUUGUGAAGAUGGUUUGUUCCAGGAAAACUUUUUAGUUAGUAGCUCUGCUUAGAGAUUUUAUCAUUAUCUUUUCUUUUAAAUGUAAAUUGAAGUUUUUCGCUUUUAAUUCUUUUACAGUUUUGAUUUGUUUUGAAAUAGCGACUUCUGUCUUUUAGCAAUGCCUAAACUGCGCUGGUGGCCCUUUCUAUCUAGUGUUAACAGGCUCGAGGGACGCACUCAUUCAUAUUUCAAUGGACUGAUGGAGAUUCCAUGACUGGGUGGUAAUAGACACUUCAUCUUUUUGCCCUUAAGAGGUUUGAAUGAAAGAGCAACAGUCAGUCUUCUAGAUGCACACAACAUUGGGAAGAUUGGCUGUAAGUUCAUAUAGAAACACCUCUCUAAUUUCAAGGGGACAGGGCAGCCUGACCCAACCAUAGCUUUUGAUUUCCUCACUGAGACGAGAAUAAGGUGCCAAGACAGUAAUAGAUCCACCAGUCAGCCUUCUUCUCAACUCAUGGAAUCAUUGGAAAUGAGUGAGUCUGCAUGAAUUCACAGCCAAUCAUUAAAAAGGGAAGAGGACUCCUUUUUGCUAAUCAGCACUAGCUGGCUAAUGAGAAGACUGCAAGACUGGUAAGGACUUAUGCUUCAGAUGACAGAUCAACCGCUAGACUGGACUUUGCUUGGGCAAUGACGAAGAUACCAGGGAAUAAUGUUUUGGAUGGAUCUCAAGGUCAGGUCCAACGGAACUGCUCCUUGCCUUUUGUCAGUUCCUAAGUGACAAUCUUGACCAUAAUGAACUCUUGACAUCUUUAUUUUUUCAUACAAGCUUCUCCUCAAGUUCAAUGUUUGAUUGUAGUAGCAAUGACUUCUACAUUUCUUGCGUGUACUAAUUUGAGUCUAUAUAUAAUGGCAACGGCAUAGAGUAGAGAUAUGUUAUGGCUGUUGAGUUCUUUAGAAAUAUAGAAUUCCAAUGUUUGGAAUGUUACCAAAAGCUAACUAAUAUUUGGGGAGCUCAUAUUGUAUUAAUUUUAAUUGGGGCCUAGGAGAAUUCACAUUA
Molecule: long non-coding RNA, 2013 nt
Organism: Quercus lobata
Lineage: Eukaryota; Viridiplantae; Streptophyta; Magnoliopsida; Fagales; Fagaceae
Exons: 3
Source: RefSeq, a predicted model, not a curated record